Molecule: long non-coding RNA, 4331 nt
Filed under: Brassica napus (rape)
Lineage: Eukaryota; Viridiplantae; Streptophyta; Magnoliopsida; Brassicales; Brassicaceae
Description: long non-coding RNA (BNAP_LNC020796)
Source: RNAcentral
GAGGUGAACGAGUCGACAGCCUUGUCACCUGCAGCCACACGAGACCUACUAAGGCAGAACCUUGAGGAUCUCCAAGCAUGUCUCAAACCUCUGUCUAGGUACACACUUAGUUAGGAAAUCUGCGGGAUUGAUAGAUGUGUGAAUCUUAUGAACCGUAACAUCGCCAGCUUCAAUUACGUCUCUCAUAAAGUGUAGUCUAGUGUCUAUAUGCUUGGUCCUUUCAUGGAAUCCUCCAUUCUUAGCCAAGUGUAUAGCACUUUGAGAAUCUGAAAACACUCUCACGUCAUCUUUCUUGAAUCCCAAUUCACUAACAAACCCCUUAAGCCAUAAUUCUUCUUUAAAAGCUUCGGCUAAUGCCAUGUAUUCUGAUUCUGUCGUUGAUAGUGCAACAAUAUGUUGGAGACCUGAUCUCCAGCUUAUAGUGUUGCCUCCGACUUGAAACACAUAUCCUGUAACGGAUCUUUUUCUGUCCAAGUCUGUUGCAUAGUCUGUAUCGCAGAAUCCUCGUACCAUAAAAUCUUCUCCUUUAGUAAACAAUAGAUCUGAAUCUAGAGCUGGUUUAAGAUAUCUCAUCACCCACUUAACAGCUUCCCAGUGUUUUCUUCCUGGCUUGCUCAUAUAACGGCUGAUUAAGCCCAUUGCGAAACAUAAGUCUGGUCUAGAUCCCACCAUUGCAUACAUUAAACUUCCAACGGCUGAUGUGUAUGGAAUUACGUUCAUGAAACUUGCUUCCACGUGCUCUUCUUCUUGUGUCAAACUUUUAAGCUUGAAUUGUGGUCCGAUAGGAGUAACCACAGCUUUGCUCUCUGCCAUGUUAAAAGUUUCCAGCACCUUCUGUAGAUACUUCCCUUGUGAUAGUUUUAGACUUCCCUUCUUCCGGUCUCUGAUAAUGUCCAUCCCAAGUAUUCUUGAAGCUGCUCCAAGGUCCUUCAUCUCAAACUCUCUCUUCAAGCUAUCUUUGAUUCUUUUAAUUUCUUUAGAAUCCUUAGAUACUAUGAGCAUGUCAUCAACAAAGAUCAAGAGAUAAAACAUAUGAGAUAAGUCUGAACCUUUCAUGUAGACGCAAGGAUCAUAUGCACUUCUUUCGAAACCUUGUUGUUUCAUGAAGCUAUCAAAUCUCCUAUUCCACUGUCUUAUUGACUGUUUUAAUCCGUAAAGGGAUUUCAACAGGAGACAAACUUGAUCUUCUUUCCCCUCCUCAACGAAACCUUAUGGCUGUGCCAUAUAAAUCUCCUCGUCUAACGUUCCGUACAGGAAAGCCAUUUUCACGUCUAGUUGUUCCAAAUCAAGAUCAUAAUUUGCAACAAGUGACAGCAUAAUUCUAAUCGACACGUGUUUCACCACUGGUGCAAACACCUCUGUGUAGGCGAUCCCUUCAACUUGUGAAAACCCUUUAGCUACUAAUCUAGCUUUGUAUCCCGGCUUCUCAAUUCCAGGAAUGCGAAUGCCUUCUUUCAGCUUGAAAACCCAUUUGCUGCCAAUAGCUUUUUUUUUCUCUAGUUUCUCAACCAGCUUCCAAGUCUGAUUUUUCUCCAACGAAUCCAUCUCUUCUUGCAUUCCCUCAUUCCAUAACUUCCAGCUCUUUCUCCUUCUUGCUUCCAAAUAGGAUUUAGGCUCAUCCUUAUUUAUUUCUUCUGCUGUAGCUAGAUCAUAAGCCACACAAUCUGAAUCAUCAAAACUAGAAGGUUUCUUUACUUCUCUCCUGAUUCUAUCUCUAGCAAGAAUGUAGUUGUCUAGAUUUUCCUGUUGAGCUCCCAUAACUUCUUCUUCACUUUCUGAGCUUGAAGAUUCAGGUUCCGAGUCGUCUGAUGCUGGAGAAACUCCACCUUGAACUGUAUCCUCUAUUUUAGUGUCUGUAGUUGUGUUUGAAGGUCCUUGAAUAAGCACAGGAUUGAACGUUACCUUUUUCGUAUUCCUCUUCUUCUCGCUGACUCCUUUAAUGUCUUUAAACAUCUCUUCCUCAUUGAAAAUCACGUUUCUGCUCACUGUACAUCUUAGCUCUUCUGGUAACCAAACUCGAUAACCUUUAAUUAGUCCCCUAUGGAUAUCCCAUGAAAACUCCUUUCAUCACUCUUGGACUGGUUUUGGCUUGUGUCACGUGAACAUAAGCUGCACACCCGAACUUCCUUAGAUAAUUUAAGUCUGUUUUGGUUCCAGACCACACCUCUACCGGUAGUUUGAAGUUAAUAGCUGUACUGGGAGAUCGGUUGAUUAAGUAGACAGCUGUAGAAGCCGCUUCCGCCCAGAACUUUUGCUCUAAGCCUGCCUCUGUCAACAUACAUCUCAUCUUCUCCAUAAUCGUACGGUUCAUGCGUUCUGAUACUCCGUUUUGCUGUGGAGUAUAGACGCAUGUUCUGUGUCUUUUAAUCUUUGCUUCCUUACACAAUGUGUCCAUCUGUGUAUGGCAGAACUCUAAUCCGUUAUCCGUCCUUAGACACUUCACCUUCUUUCCUGUCUCAGUCUCCACACAUGUUUUCCAUUCCUUGAAGUUUUGAAACACUUCAUUCUUUGAUCUUAGGAAAUACAUCCAAACUUUCCUAGAACAAUCAUCAAUGAAUGUAACAAAAUAGAAACAUCCUCCAAGACUCUCUACCACCGAAGGUGAACCCCAUAAAUCUGAAUGGAUGUACUCUAGGACUUCCUUAGACGUGUGCUUGCCUUUUGGAAAGCUUAGCUUGUGUGCUCUACCCAAAACGCAAUUCUCGCAAAACUCCAACGUCUUCACAUCCUUUACGUUUAAAUAUCCCUCCUUGAAUAGAAUAUUCAUGCCCUUUAGACUCAUAUGUCCAAGCCUAGAGUGCCACCUCUUAGUCAAAUCGAUAUCAGGCCUUGUGACUGUAGCUUCACCAUCCAAUACUGUCCCUUGUAAGUAAUACAAGCCAUCACAGUAUUUUCCAGAAAUAACCUUCUGAUCUCCUUUGUAAAACUGCACCAUGAAUUCUUUGCCUUCGUAUCUGAAUCCCAUCUUCUCUAAUAAACCGUAGGAGAUGAGGUUUCUUCCCAUUGUAGGCAUGUAACGAACAUCAGUGAGAAUCAUGCUCGAUCCAUCAUCAUUCAUGAUCCUGAUCUUCCCGAUCCCUUUAAUCUCGUUGAUAGUGUUAUUUCCCAUCAAAACCUUUCAUCCUUCUAUGUCUUCAAGAUCAAAUAAGACAUCUUUAUUUGGAGUGAUAUGGAAUGUACAACCAGAAUCAAGUACCCACUCGUCCUUAGUAGCUUGCUGGCUAGCUACUAACACCAAUGGUUGUUCUUUCUUUUCAGCUAUGUUGACCGAAUUUGAUGGCUUUCUCUCCGGACACUGCUUUUUAAAGUGUCCCUCCUUGCCACACGUCCAACAUUUUUUAGAGAACUUAGGUCUUGAUUGUGAUCUAUUUUUGCUCUUUGAUCUAGCUCUCCAAGUCUUGUCGUUUUUCUUUUCGCCCCUGCCUCUGUUGUUGCCAACAUACAGCCCCUCUGAGUUACUCUUGGACUUCCCUUCUCCCUUAAUUCAACUUCCUUAGAAUAAGCUGAGCUUGUAACAUCACAAACUGUUGAAAUUUCUUUGCCGCUGCCGUAUUUUAAUGCAUCAACGAGAGACUCGUAUUGCUUGGGCAAGCUGGUUAAGAUCUGAAUUGCUUGAUCUUCUCAAUGAUCUUAAUGUCCAGACUUGCUUGAUCAGCCACAAGUUUCAGAAACACAUCCAUAUUUUCCUUAAUGGACUUGUGCUCUUCCAUUCUGAAACCUGCAUAUCUCUGCUUCAUGUAGAUUCGAUUAGGUAAUGUCUUGGUCUGAUACUCAGCUUCUAGAGCCUUCCACAUAGCCAGUGCUGUAGGCUCUUGCAUAACCUUGCGCAGAAUAAGGUCAGAUAGACACAAACUGAUCAGAUUCUUUGUACGCAAUUCCCGUUCUUGUUCCUUAGGAUCAGGUUUUCCAUCUUUAUGUUCUUCACCUUCAACAUCCGUAGAAGGAGUUUUCUCCUUAAGAAAAGACCCCAAACCAAAGAUCUCUAGCUGACAGAGCAUCUUAUACUUCCAUAGACCAAAAUCACCCUUGCCAUCGAAUUUUUCCACUUCAAAUUUCUUUGAAAUUGCUUCCAUCUCUCUUAUAACCCGUAAACUUGUUUUCCUUUGUUUGCAGGUUGCUGUAAUACGCCGUAGUCGUCAAGCUUCAAUCACCAACGAGCUGAGUCUUCUUCACCGCACCAGAUAAGAAUUCUCCUUGCUUGUUUAUUGAAUCUUGCCUUCGAAUCUCUGUAACUAGGAUCUCUGUUAGCCUAAGCUCUGAUACCACUUGUAGAGAAUCGACCUUGGCUGUUCUUGUAACAAGUAAAUCGACACACCAAUAUGUUUGGUGAG